RNAcentral lists this ribosomal RNA (305 nucleotides) under uncultured bacterium. Its description in RNAcentral is "bacterial SSU rRNA". It matches the Rfam family "Bacterial small subunit ribosomal RNA", at positions 335 to 655 of the family's 1533-position model. The record is from RNAcentral.
UUUCCUACGGGGGGCAGCAGUAGGGAAUCUUCCACAAUGGGCGAAAGCCUGAUGGAGCAACGCCGCGUGGGUGAAGAAGGUCUUCGGAUCGUAAACUUCUGUCCUUGGGGAAGAAGAACUGACGGUACCCGAGGAGGAAGCCCCAGCUAACUACGUGCCAGCAGCCGCGGUAAUACGUAGGUGGCAAGCGUUAUCCGGAUUUAUUGGGCGUAAAGGGAACGCAGGCGGUCUUUUAAGUCUGAUGUGAAAGCCUUCGGCUUAACCGGAGUAGUGCAUUGGAAACUGGGAGACUUGAGUGCAGAAGG